Molecule: long non-coding RNA, 852 nt
Organism: Xenia sp. Carnegie-2017
Lineage: Eukaryota; Metazoa; Cnidaria; Anthozoa; Malacalcyonacea; Xeniidae
Exons: 3
Source: RefSeq, a predicted model, not a curated record
AUGGAUUAAGCGCAGUAAUGGAACGUAUCUUUACAAACAUGAGCUAUUACAACUGCUGCGAAAUAUUGCAAAUAGCACAAGUCAAAUCGCAUUACAGAAAAACAUUGAAUCAUUGAAAAACAGCCAUCUGUGGAAAGAAUCGCUGCAACUGCAGAAAUACUUUGAUGAAUUUUGGGGAUUACACUUGCAGAAAUGGGUCCGUUUUUACAGGGAUGAAUCGUUGCGCGUUGCCAUUUAUACAAACAACAGAGUGGAAAGGCGAAAUAACUGGUUAAAGCAUUCAUAUUUAGAGGACAGACGAAAUCAUUCGAUAAGUGAUCUCGUCAAUAUAUUACUAACACAGUUCCUGCCUGAUAGCUACAAAAAGUAUUGUGCAUACUGUUUUUUUCAUAAGAUGUUCGCAAUCAGUGAGCUUUAACGAUAAUCAAAAAAGUAUAAGUGUACUUACAAUUUUCUCUUUAUAGAUAUAAGGAACAGAAUAUCAAAUCAUCCCAUUCGUACAAGUCCAACAGCAAACAAAUCCCAAAGUUCCUGCACAAUAGACCAAACACAACAGAUUCUUGCUCCAACUCAAUCCAAAAUGUUAGAAAUAAGUGUGUUCAAAAAGUCAAACAAAUGCAGGAUGAGCUUUACAUUUUGGAUGAUGAGAACGUUUUGGACAAAACCCUGGAGAUGUUACAAGAGGUAAUACAAUAAACAAGAAAAAAUCAUCCUGAGGAAAAUGGAAUUUCAUUGAAAAACAAGUCUUUAUCUCCAAAAAAGAAACAAAUUUCAAAGUGUAGGUCACAAUCUGCUUUGCCAAAACGAAAAUGCAAGAGGUGUCCAGGUAAACGAGUGGGAAGAGCAGCUGAU